This 471-nucleotide ribosomal RNA is filed under the name uncultured bacterium. RNAcentral describes it as "bacterial SSU rRNA". It matches the Rfam family "Bacterial small subunit ribosomal RNA", at positions 329 to 793 of the family's 1533-position model. The record is from RNAcentral.
GCAGAGCAUCCUACGGGAGGCAGCAGUGGGGAAUAUUGCACAAUGGGCGCAAGCCUGAUGCAGCCAUGCCGCGUGUAUGAAGAAGGCCUUCGGGUUGUAAAGUACUUUCAGCAGUGAGGAAGUGGGUAUGUUAAUAGCAUACUCAUUUGACGUUAGCUGCAGAAGAAGCACCGGCUAACUCCGUGCCAGCAGCCGCGGUAAUACGGAGGGUGCGAGCGUUAAUCGGAAUUACUGGGCGUAAAGCGCAUGCAGGUGGUUUGUUAAGUCAGAUGUGAAAGCCCGGGGCUCAACCUCGGAAUUGCAUUUGAAACUGGCAAACUAGAGUACUGUAGAGGGGGUAGAAUUUCAGGUGUAGCGGUGAAAAUGCGUAGAGAUCUGAAGGAAUACCGGUGGCGAAGGCGGCCCCCUGGACAGAUACUGACACUCAGAUGCGAAAGCGUGGGGAGCAAACAGGAUUAGAUACCCUGGUAG